UAGGGAAUAUUGGGCAAUGGGCGCAAGCCUGACCCAGCAACGCCGCGUGAGGGAAGAAGGUUUUCGGAUUGUAAACCUCUGUCCUAUGUGACGAAGGAAGUGACGGUAGCAUAGGAGGAAGCCCCGGCUAACUACGUGCCAGCAGCCGCGGUAAUACGUAGGGGGCGAGCGUUGUCCGGAAUUACUGGGCGUAAAGGGUGCGUAGGCGGUUUUGUAAGUUGGAUGUGAAAUACCCGGGCUUAACUUGGGGGCUGCAUCCAAUACUGCAGGACUUGAGUGCAGGAGAGGAAAGCGGAAUUCCUAGUGUAGCGGUGAAAUGCGUAGAUAUUAGGAGGAACACCGGUGGCGAAGGCGGCUUUCUGGACUGUAACUGACGCUGAGGCACGAAAGCGUGGGGAGCAAACAGG
This 407-nucleotide ribosomal RNA is filed under the name uncultured Eubacteriales bacterium. RNAcentral describes it as "bacterial SSU rRNA". It matches the Rfam family "Bacterial small subunit ribosomal RNA", at positions 355 to 776 of the family's 1533-position model. The record is from RNAcentral. RNAcentral also lists the same sequence under 1 other name. Lineage: Bacteria; Bacillati; Bacillota; Clostridia; Eubacteriales.